RNAcentral lists this transfer RNA (97 nucleotides) under Rhizoctonia solani 123E. It matches the Rfam family "tRNA". From Rfam's summary of the family: Transfer RNA (tRNA) molecules are approximately 80 nucleotides in length. Their secondary structure includes four short double-helical elements and three loops (D, anti-codon, and T loops). Lineage: Eukaryota; Fungi; Basidiomycota; Agaricomycetes; Cantharellales; Ceratobasidiaceae. The record is from Rfam by way of RNAcentral.
GCCCUUAUAGCUCAGUGGUAGAGCGCAUCACUCGUAAAUUUGCUACAUUGCUUACGUAAGCAUGAUGAGGUCCAUUGUUCAAUCCAGUGUGGGGGCA